Molecule: ribosomal RNA, 118 nt
Organism: Erinaceus europaeus (western European hedgehog)
Lineage: Eukaryota; Metazoa; Chordata; Mammalia; Eulipotyphla; Erinaceidae
Source: Ensembl
GUCUACGGCCAUACCACCCUGAACCCACCCUAUCUCAUCUGAUCUCCGAAGCUAAGCAGGCUCAGGUCUGGUUAGUACUUGGAUGGGAGACAAAAAUAAGUUAACAAGAAUCGUGACA